GGUGCACAGGCCGGUCUGUGCGGAGCGCGGAGUAGGUCUGGGAGUCUAACCGAUUCCUAAAUAGGCUUUGAACCGCUCCUUCUGGUUUUAGCGUGUCCACCUCUUUGCCACAGGUAUCUGGUGCUGCCAAUUCCAGAGCCUUUAGGGAUUCUGCUCAAUUUCUCAAAUUUCCCCAGUGCUGGCUUAGGAUUCAAUGUUCCCAUGUCUGCUGCAUCAUUGGUCACAUUUCUUAUUUUCCAGCUGUUAAAAUUUUGUUGCUAUGGGGAGUUAAAAAAAAAACUUUUUGUUGCUAUUUUUCCUUCCCUUUAAAAAAAUUCACUUACAGGGCCAGCCCCGUGGCUAAGUUCACACGCUCCGCUUUGGAAGCCCAGGGUUUUGCCAGUUCAGAUCCUGGGUGGAGACCUAGCACCACUCAUCAGGCCAUGCUGAGGCGGCGUCCCACACAGCACGAGCAGAGGCACUCACAACUGCAAUAUACACCUAUUUACUGGGGGGCUUUGGGAAAAAGAAGGAAAAAUUUUAAAAAAAUAAUAAUGAUUUUAAAAGUUAACUUCCUUGUUAAAAAAAUUCAUUUACCAUCAUUUUAGUGAGAUUUCAGGAAAAGAGAAAAGAAGAGAUGUGUGCAUGCUGAAUCCUCUCUGUUUACCUGGAAGAUUUACUUCUCACAUUUACCUUUUUCUAUUAUUUCAUUUUUUUAAUCCAUGUUUGCUCACUAGUUAUUAUUCAUUGUUUUCCUUUCCAAGUUACGACAAUUUAGUUGCUUUUUUCAAAGCAGCUAUAAGAGGAUAGCGCAUAGGAACAAUGAAAUAAUCAUCAGCCUUUUUAAGGCUUUGCGAGCUUCCAGUGCUGAUCUGUGUAGUAGGGGCAUGUACAUGCAUGUGUAUUUGCCAAGAGACAGCCGCAGCCUACCUGGGGGAGAUCAUAUACCCACAAAUGAUGACACAAGACCAGGAGAUAGCAAUACCCCUCCAAGAAGGAGAUAAAGUUGGUCAAAAUGAGUCAUGGUCAGGAGUGUGAAAUUUCCCCAGCCGUUACUUCUGCCUGGAGAAGAAUUUCCAAUUUGCUUAAACACUUGUCUAUCCCGCUCAUGGAGAAUUCUCUGAAGGAGCCGUCUCCAAAUUGUUUGAUUGACAUUCUUAUAAGAAAAGCAUUUUUAACACACUCUCAAAUAGGCAAAUUUAUUUACUUGCAAAUUAUACAUGUCUUACUCUAUCAAUAUUAUCCAUGGUAUUAAUACACAUACAAGUAGAGAUUUUUAAAGGAUGCAAUAGAAAAUAAAUAGAAUUAGAAGUUCUAAUAUUUUCCUUCAGCACCCCAGCAAAUCACCUUGCACAUCACAGAAUUCUCAAGCAGGCUGAGCAUCAGAGCACCUGCGAAGGUUUUUCAAAGUCCUGCCCCGGGCCUACCUGGCAUAUGAAUCAGAACUUCUGAGGGUGGGACCCUGGCAAGGGCGUUUUGAAAAAGUUUCCCCACUGAGUCCCAUGUGCACCUCUGGUUAAGAAAUACAACUCCAAAGAUUUCAAAAUUAGAGCCCUUGAAAAAGUAUAAAUAGUAGUCAAAUGGCUACCCAAGUGCAAAAAGCAGGCUAAUGAUACUGGGAGAUUCUGAGCUUGAUUAAAUAUCUGGAAUGUCACAUACCUCAAAAAAUUCUGUCUCCUUCCCACAACUCCAUAUUUUUCUUCCUCUAUAUCUGUCCUUUCUCUUUACUUCUUAGGAUAAAUUUAACUUUUCUGUUAUAACAAAUAGGUAUUCAAUGUAGAAAAUAUAGAUAAGCAAAAAGAAGAAAAUAAAAGCUCAUCUAUAAUUCUACCAUUCCAAGAAAACACUUAAAGUUUUUAUUUAUAGCCUUCCAGAUAUUUAUGGCAACACAUGCUUAAAAUGGGAUCAUAGGGGCCAGCCCGGUGGCGCAGGGGUUAAGUGCACACAUUCCGCUUCAGCGGCCGAGGGUUGGCUAGUUCGGAUCCCGCGUGCGGACAAGGCACCACUUGGCAAGCCAUGCUGUGGCAGGCAUCCCACAUAGAAAGUAGAGGAAGAUAGGCACGGAUGUGAGCUCAGGGCCAGUCUUCCUCAGCAAAAAGAGGAGGAUUGGCAGCAGAUGUUAGCUCAGGACUAAUCUUCCUCAAAAAGUAAGGGGGGGAGGAUCAUACUGUACAUGCUCUUUUAAACAUUUUCACUCGGUAAUUAUUUUUUUUCCAGGACAACAAGAAUGAAAGCUCCAAUAGAGCAGUGGACAGUGGUGGGACAGCUGAUCCGCGUGCACAGAGCAGGUAGUCAGAAGCCCCCUGAGUGCAGCUGAACAGCUGGGUCCUCCAACUAAUAUUCUCUCCCUUCCCCUUCUGAUCCUUCCUUAUUUUGCGUCUCUUGUUCUGAUUGCUUUCUACAUGCCCUUUCUCUUUUCUUUUACUUUCUCCCCUCAUCUCUCUUCACUAAAGCAACCGAGCAAGGCUUUCAGGACAAGGGUUAAUAUUUGACAGAAUGAAACUUCCCGAUAAUUUGACAAGGGAUGCCUAACCAGGAAGCUGAAGAGACAGCUGCACCCUUCUCUGCAAAGAGGAUCUUCUGAGCAAGCCCAGAAGCAAAGUUCGGCCAGAGGCAGCCUGGGGUGCCCAGGUUGUCCGAGAAGAGCCAUUUGAGGGAAAUUGCAUUUCUGGAAUUGAAACCAAGGGAGGUGGAACUGCAGUCGACACAAGGCAAGGACUGAGAAGGAGGCCGGGAUGACAAUCCAGAACAAACCAGCCACAGCACUCCCACUUGGAGAAUAAUCAGUUUCCCCAGUGGUGUUAUAAAACCGGUUGCAAAAAACCAGUUCCUCUUGCUUUAGGUGGCAAGGAUCUUCCGAGUGCUGGUUACCCUCUCACAGCUUUUCAACCUGCUGCCAAAGAAAUUUCCAUCUGUAGUUAUUAAUCCACUGGUAUUGAGGAAAGUUCCUGAACUUUGAAAGCUUGUUUGGGCUGGUAUGAAAGAAAAUAAGCACUUUCCACCACAGCAGAGCCAAACUGUGCUUUCUAGAGGCUGUGGAAAAUUGUUUUCAUUAAACGCAAAUCAUUGCCCCCCAAACCAAUGUUCUUGGGGAUGAAAUUGUCUUUGGCUCCAUUAACUCUGAGAGGCUACAUUAGCCAGUUCUCUAACGGCACUCUGCUAUGGAAGGUUCUAGAAAAUGAAUAGAAAGUGAAUCACUUUCCACUCGCACCCCCAGUACCAACCCCUCACCCCAGCAGCAGCUUACCCCUUAUCAGUUGGAAAGGGGGUGGGGUGGGGGAUGUAGCAUGACUGUGCUUAUACUAUGAAGAUGCUGGGGUGGGGUUGGGGGGACAGCAAUUAAAUGCUGCAACUGGGGUGUUAGUCACAGUGGGUGGGACUCUCCCUGUCAUCCUGCAGAAGCAGAGCCAGAGAAGCUGAUGAUAGCUGAAGAGAGGGAGGGCCCCCCGCGCAACCUCUCUCUUUUCCCAGCAACAGCUGCUUCAUAAGCAGCACUUAGCAUAUGUACAAGGUCGUAAAAGAGGUGAGAAACAGGGAAACAGUAUUUUGACACAAACUUGUCCAGAGAGGAUCUCUUAUAGGAAGAACAUCUCUGGCCUAUAGCAGAAUUGAAACUAAAUUAAAAAAAUUUUUUUUUUUCUUCUUUGAGAAAGACUGGAAAAUUCUUUGCUUCCUCCAGGGAAACAAAUCUUUACUUGAGGUGGCACCUGAAAUUUCACCAUUAAUGAUAUAGUCCUUUGUGUAUUGCAGGCAACCUGGCAUCUAAGAGACCUAUAUAAAAAUGCAGAUACGUCAUAUAAGGCCAGCCAGCGAUUCUCACUGGAAUCAGAAUCCUUCAGAAGACCUUUACAUGCAGACUGCUGGCAUACACACACAUACUCCAUCCCCUGAGCCCUACUACAACCGCGACCUUUAGUCACUAGGUGGGUCUCCAGUUCUCUGAUGUGUUAGUCAUCACAGGCUGAUAUAGCAAAAUACCAUGGACUGGGUGACUUAAACAACAAACAUUUAAUUCUAUAGUUCUGAAGGGUGGAAGUCCAAGAUCCAGGUGCCAGGAGCUUCGGCUUCUGGUGAGAGCCCUUUCUGGCUUUCAAAUGACCACCUUCUUGCUGUAUCCUCAUACAACCUUUCCUUGGUGCAUGCACGGGAAGAGAGCAGCAUCUCUCAGCCUUCCUCCUCCUGUAAAGACACUUUUCCCAUCAAGAAGGUCCCAUCCUCACGACCUCAUCUACACCUAAUUACAUCCCAAAGGCCCCAUGUCCAAAUACCAUCACACUGGGGUUAGGGCUGCAACAUACGAAUUUGAGGAGGGGACACAAACCUUCAGACCAUAACAUCUGGCUUCUGACAGGACCUUGGCGUAGUUAACUUUAGAUCUUACUUUCGCAGGUUAGAAAUUGAUUUCCACUGUGGAUGAUGAUUUGAUUGCCUCAAUCAGAACUGACCCUCUAUAGUUAAGGAAGAAAUCAAUGGAAAAUUGGAAAUAGUUUUUUUUUUUUUAAUUUUGACACUUCAAAGGGGACUAUAUAGAAGAGUCAACACUGUCACUUUCCUCCCCUGAAUCCACGGCCCCCUCCAGUAUCCUAUCUCUUUCUUUUCUCCCUACGUUCUCUAUUGGUACAUUCCCUUUCUUCUCCUCCUCUUUAAGAAGGAAACAUAUUAGGAAUGUGGGUUGUGUUUGUGUUACCCUUGCUUAAUCAUUUCGUACUUUCUUUACAUAACAUGGGCUUAAUAUUUUACUUCGGGAUGUGGUUAUUUCAGUGUGUUGACCUUCUUUACUUGAUGCAUCAGUGGCUGUGAUGGGAAAAAAGGUCCUUACACCUGUCUCAUGACCUUAAGAGUGGAGGAAUCAUUCAUCAGGUGCUGAGGCCACAGGACCACUUAGAAAGUGUGAGAGGGGAGUAGGGGGUGAGCUGGGAGUUUGAAAAAACAAGACCAAGGACAAGAUUUCCCUACCUCCCAGAUUUGCAAAGAACAAGCUUCUGUUAUGCUAAAGUCAGUCCUAGUCAAUAAUCUACUGUGGGGAAGCAGCAACCAAAGAUCCCACGGGUUGCUCUGACUUGUACCUUACCUAAGAUUUCUCUUGAGUGGGUAUGUACAUGGAGCCCAGAGACACUCCAUAGGGUUGGGACAACACAACGUGCCUCUCCUACCUGUUGGCCUCCUUUUCCCCAUCUCAUUACAUAUAGGGGAAAUCAGAUUGAAAUUAACACCGAGGACCCCACAAAAGUUAAAGCAGAAACUAUAGGGUCGUGUAGGCAGAGUAUGUGGACAGAAGAAGGCGGAAAGCCAUUCCAGUUUCUCCUGGUGUUUAGGAGUACCUUGGAUGAUUAAGUUACUUUAUUUUCAAGGCUUCACUGGCCAAGCCCUCUUCUCCUCUAUGUGGGGGUGCUGCCAUGAACUAUCCAACAUGCUGCCUGUCGCACCCCUCCCAGCUCCACUCAGCAGCUCAGCCCCCUAUUCUGUGGAGAAGGUGCAGUGCAGAAUGAGAGAACUGCCUGGCCACUCAGCUGCCUAGACCAACAAGGCUCUUGUGUGCUGGUCCCAGACCAUUUCCGGAGACCAACAUAUGACAGAGCCACAACCUCCGGCCCCUCUGUCAGCUAUCUGCAGUUCCUCCUUUUUCUUUUCUUCUCCUAACCUCAUAAACAACGAUCGUUGAAGGUCCCACUAUCUACAGAUUCUGAGCCAAGAUUGGCUUUGGUUAAGAGGAAAUUCUCCGUUUUCUACAACAGUGGACAAAGGGUUUUAUUUUAUGAGUAGGAACUUUGCUUUCUCUAAUAUGGAUUAUUUAAUGUAUUUUUACUGUUCCUGCUUUUGUUCUCUAUAAUUAUAGUUCAUAGCAAAAUUGAUGUUACCCAAGAAAUAGACAAGGAACUUCUUGGUAAAGGAAGUAACCGAGGAGUUGAAAGCAGAGGCCCAAAAAGUAGUUCAGUUCUGCAUUCGAUUCCUUCCCUCAUUUGUAUGACCUCCCCGUCUAGAAAAAAAGAACAAUAGGAACAACAAAAUCAACAAAUUGUGUAACUCUGUUUCCCAACUUUCCUAAGAACAUUCAUGUUCCCUGUGCCACCCUUAUGACACACACAAUUCUUCACGGGAAACGUAAGCAAACAUAGAAAUCUGUUGUUACAAGCAGGUAGCUGUAGGCAUCUGCUGUCACCUCCCAAAGACAGGAAGAGCCCUCCUUUUUUUUGUUUUUUGUUUUUUUUGCUCAGGAAGAUUCACCCUGAGCUAACACGCAUUAUCAAUCUUCCUCUUUUUUUUGCUUGAGGAAGAUUAGCCCUGAGCUCACAUCUGUGCCAAUCCUCCUCUACUGUUUUAUAUGUGUGACACCUACACAGCAUCGUUGGUAACUGGAGUAGGUCUGUGCCCAGGAUCUGAACCCAUGAACCCAGGCUGCUGAAGCAGAGCAUGUGGAACUUUAACCAUCUGUCCACGGGGCCAGGCCCAGGAAGAGCUCUCUUUUGUCUAAAUGGCAGGUCCUAACCCUUCCCACUUUCUCCUCAGUAAGUUAAUGUCUAAAGGUGGUAUUUGGAAACAGUGGAGGAAAAGAUGGAUGAUCCAAUACAUGAUAUUGAGGCACCCAUAUAACCAUGUGGAAAAAAAUGCAUAUGAAGCAAAGAUUUAAACGUAAAAAUGAAAACAUAAAAGUACUAGGGGAGGGCUGGCCCAAUGGCGAAGCAGCUAUGUUCGCACGUUCCGCUUUGGCGGCCCGGGCUUCACUGGUUUGGAUCCUGGUUGCGGACAUGGCACCACUUGGCAAGCCAUGCUGUGGUAGGCAUCCCACAUAUAAAGCAGAGGAAGAUGGGCACAGAUGUUAGCUCAGGGCCAGCCUUCCUCAGCAAAAAGAGGAGGAUUGACAGCAGAU
Molecule: long non-coding RNA, 6847 nt
Filed under: Equus caballus (horse)
Lineage: Eukaryota; Metazoa; Chordata; Mammalia; Perissodactyla; Equidae
Description: lncRNA (ENSECAG00000035401.3)
Source: RNAcentral